This 497-nucleotide ribosomal RNA is filed under the name uncultured bacterium. RNAcentral describes it as "partial 16S ribosomal RNA". It matches the Rfam family "Bacterial small subunit ribosomal RNA", at positions 28 to 507 of the family's 1533-position model. The record is from RNAcentral.
GACGAACGCUGGCGGCGUGCCUAAUACAUGCAAGUUGAGCGAUGAAGCUUGGUGCUUGCACCAAUUUGAAGAGCAGCGAACGGGUGAGUAACGCGUGGGGAAUCUGCCUUUGAGCGGGGGACAACAUUUGGAAACGAAUGCUAAUACCGCAUAACAACUUUAAACAUAAGUUUUAAGUUUGAAAGAUGCAAUUGCAUCACUCAAAGAUGAUCCCGCGUUGUAUUAGCUAGUUGGUGAGGUAAAGGCUCACCAAGGCGAUGAUACAUAGCCGACCUGAGAGGGGGAUCGGCCAAAUUGGGACUGAGACACGGCCCAAACUACUACGGGAGGCAGCAGGAGGGAAUCUUCGGCAAUGGACGAAAGUCUGGCCGAGCAACGCCGCGUGAGUGAAGAAGGUUUUCGGAUCGUAAAACUCUGUUGGUAGAGGAGAACGUUGGUGAGAGUGGAAAGCUCAUCAAGUGACGGUAACUACACAGAAAGGGACGGCUAACUACGUG